This 806-nucleotide ribosomal RNA is filed under the name uncultured bacterium. Its description in RNAcentral is "bacterial SSU rRNA". It matches the Rfam family "Bacterial small subunit ribosomal RNA", at positions 90 to 891 of the family's 1533-position model. The record is from RNAcentral.
AUUCAGCGGCGGACGGGUGAGUAAUGCCUAGGAAUCUGCCCGAUAGUUGGGGGACAACGUUUCGAAAGGAGCGCUAAUACCGCAUACGUCCUACGGGAGAAAGUGGGGGAUCUUCGGACCUCACGCUAUCGGAUGAGCCUAGGUCGGAUUAGCUAGUUGGUGAGGUAAUGGCUCACCAAGGCGACGAUCCGUAACUGGUCUGAGAGGAUGAUCAGUCACACUGGAACUGAGACACGGUCCAGACUCCUACGGGAGGCAGCAGUGGGGAAUAUUGGACAAUGGGCGAAAGCCUGAUCCAGCCAUGCCGCGUGUGUGAAGAAGGUCUUCGGAUUGUAAAGCACUUUAAGUUGGGAGGAAGGGCUGUCGGCUAAUACCCUGCAGUUUUGACGUUACCAACAGAAUAAGCACCGGCUAACUUCGUGCCAGCAGCCGCGGUAAUACGAAGGGUGCAAGCGUUAAUCGGAAUUACUGGGCGUAAAGCGCGCGUAGGUGGUUCAGCAAGUUGGAUGUGAAAGCCCCGGGCUCAACCUGGGAACUGCAUCCAAAACUACUGAGCUAGAGUACGGUAGAGGGUGGUGGAAUUUCCUGUGUAGCGGUGAAAUGCGUAGAUAUAGGAAGGAACACCAGUGGCGAAGGCGACCACCUGGACUGAUACUGACACUGAGGUGCGAAAGCGUGGGGAGCAAACAGGAUUAGAUACCCUGGUAGUCCACGCCGUAAACGAUGUCAACUAGCUGUUGGGUUCCUUGAGAACUUAGUAGCGAAGCUAACGCGAUAAGUUGACCGCCUGGGGAGUACGGCCGCAA